Molecule: transfer-messenger RNA, 397 nt
Filed under: Saccharimonadales (SeqCode)
Lineage: Bacteria; Candidatus Saccharimonadota; Candidatus Saccharimonadia
Also listed under: 1 other name
Description: Microsaccharimonas sossegonensis Standard tmRNA
Rfam family: transfer-messenger RNA
About the family: Bacterial tmRNA, also known as 10Sa RNA or SsrA, is named for its dual tRNA and mRNA-like properties. Its role is to liberate the mRNA from a stalled ribosome.
Source: RNAcentral
GGGGCUGAUAUAGCUUCGACGCGAGGACUUUAACAGGUUAUUUUGCAAGUCGGACGCACACGUUACGUGCACAAUGUAAUUGCAAACAUCAAGCAAUCAGUAGCAUCUAUCGCUAAGCAGCUUUUCGCUGUGCAGCCAGUUGCUGCGCCAGCUUUCGCCUAAACGCCUAAGCCAUCGACUUUCCCCGAGGAAUCAUAGGGGAAGCGGUGUUAUACGUAUGAUUCUUACCCUUUAGUCAGGCAGCUGUGGCAAUUGGGAACACUUUACAGCGCGUUUCUUUAGUCAUUUUCGCCUUUAUUCGAGGCUAAACGGAACGUACUACUCAAUGAAGGCUAUACUUGUAGACGAAUAACAGGUUACCUUUCGGACCCGGGGGCAGUACCCGGCAGCUCCACCA